UGUAUGAACAGAUGCAGAAAACAUAUCCUCAUUUGCAACCUGGAACUAAUUGUUUAGUAUGAUUUUUGAUACAUAUAAGAAGGAGUACU
Molecule: small nucleolar RNA, 89 nt
Organism: Macaca fascicularis (crab-eating macaque)
Lineage: Eukaryota; Metazoa; Chordata; Mammalia; Primates; Cercopithecidae
Source: Ensembl